CCGUUCGUUUUUAUUUGAGAUAUUUUUAAUAAAUUAAUCAUAACAAUUCGUAGGAAAUAUUAUUUUAUUCAUUUAUGGAUUUUGUCUGUCAGUCGGAAUUCCUAUACGCUUUAAUAUAUAUAUAUAUAUAUAUAUAUAUAUAUAUAUAUAUAUAUAUAUAUAGAGAGAGAGAGAGAGAGAGAGAGAGAGAGAGAGAGAGAGGGGGAGAUUGGUAUACUAUCGUUAGCCAAUUUGUUUUCAACGAUGCGGCUUCCAAAUCCAUGAUCGGCUCCGUUAGACUUAAUCUACAUUAUUAAAAAUAUUUGGAAACUAAAUUUCAUAAUUUUUCAGCAUCAUUUAUCUAUCAAACGAGUAGUUUAAAAAUUAACGGCUGAAAAUAAAAAUCUCAUAAAAAUGAUAAUAAAAGACUUGAAUUUAAGAUCAGAUGUGCUGAUCUUACUAUAAGUAGUUAAAAAAAUUUUCUAUAAAAAUUUCAUUUGAUUUGGAUUGUUUUACACCGUUAAAUUCACAAACGCAUCACAUCUACCAUUAAAAUUGUCAAUUUUGAGACCUUUUGAUCACUAGCCAAAUGAUGUCGAAAAAUUAUGAAAUUUAGUUUACAAAUACUUUCAAUAGUAUAGAUAAAGUCUAACAGAGCCGAUCGUCGAUUUGGAAGCCGCAUCAUUGAAAACAACUUGGUAGCACGGAGGCCUCCGUGCUACCGAUAGUAUACCAGCCUAGCGCGCGCUCUCUCUCUCUCUCUCUCUCUCUCUCUCUCUCUCUCUCUCUCUCUCUCUCUCUCUAUAUAUAUAUAUAUAUAGUAGAGCUACUAUACUAUCGGAAGUAUAAAGUAGUUGGUGCUUCCGAUUUUCUGGCCCUUAGAUCAACCCCAUUGAUCAUUUUUAACCAUUGGAUUAAUAUUAUUAACCAAUGGGGACCAUUCAACCCUAGGGGGACCACUCAAUUCUAAGGGUACCGCUAUCAUCUCAAUCGUAGAAUUUUUAAUCCAAGGGCUAAAAAAUCAGAAGCACCAACUAUUUUAUGCUUCCGAGAUAGUAUAGUAGCUCUAUACUAUAUAUAUAGUAUAGAGCUACUAUAUAUAUAUAUUGUCUUGGCGUUUCUAU
RNAcentral lists this long non-coding RNA (1103 nucleotides) under Ananas comosus (pineapple). RNAcentral describes it as "long non-coding RNA (ACOM_LNC004826)". The record is from RNAcentral. Lineage: Eukaryota; Viridiplantae; Streptophyta; Magnoliopsida; Poales; Bromeliaceae.